This 426-nucleotide ribosomal RNA is filed under the name uncultured bacterium. RNAcentral describes it as "bacterial SSU rRNA". It matches the Rfam family "Bacterial small subunit ribosomal RNA", at positions 356 to 773 of the family's 1533-position model. The record is from RNAcentral.
GGGGAAUAUUGCGCAAUGGGGGAAACCCUGACGCAGCAACGCCGCGUGAGUGAGGAAGGACUUCGGUCUGUAAAGCUCUGUUAAUGUGGAAAAAUGGUAGUUGGUCUAAUAGGCCGAUUAUUUGAUGGUACACAUAGAGGAAGCACCGGCUAACUUCGUGCCAGCAGCCGCGGUAAUACGAAGGGUGCAAGCGUUGUUCGGAUUUAUUGGGCGUAAAGCGCGCGUAGGCGGACCUGCAAGUCAGAUGUGAAAUCUCGGGGCUCAACCUCGAAACUGCGUCUGAAACUACAGGUCUAGAAUCUUGGAGGGGGAAGGGGAAUUUCGCAUGUAGGGGUAAAAUCCGUAGAUAUGCGAAGGAACACCAGAGGCGAAGGCGCCUUCCUGGACAAGUAUUGACGCUGAGGCGCGAAAGCGUGGGGAUCAAAC